This 769-nucleotide ribosomal RNA is filed under the name uncultured bacterium. RNAcentral's name for it is "bacterial SSU rRNA". It matches the Rfam family "Bacterial small subunit ribosomal RNA", at positions 88 to 902 of the family's 1533-position model. The record is from RNAcentral.
AAGGGGAGUGGCAGACGGGUGAGUAACGCGUGGGAAUCUACCCAGUUCUUCGGAAUAACUGAGGGAAACUUCAGCUAAUACCGGAUACGCCCUAUGGGGGAAAGAUUUAUCGGGAUUGGAUGAGCCCGCGUCAGAUUAGCUAGUUGGUGGGGUAAUGGCCCACCAAGGCGACGAUCUGUAGCUGGUCUGAGAGGAUGAUCAGCCACACUGGGACUGAGACACGGCCCAGACUCCUACGGGAGGCAGCAGUGGGGAAUAUUGGACAAUGGGCGCAAGCCUGAUCCAGCCAUGCCGCGUGAGUGAUGAAGGCCUUAGGGUUGUAAAGCUCUUUCAGUGGGGAAGAUAAUGACGGUACCCACAGAAGAAGCCCCGGCUAACUUCGUGCCAGCAGCCGCGGUAAUACGAAGGGGGCUAGCGUUGUUCGGAUUUACUGGGCGUAAAGCGCACGUAGGCGGAUGGUUAAGUCAGGGGUGAAAUCCCAGAGCUCAACUCUGGAACUGCCUUUGAUACUGGCCAUCUUGAGUCCGGAAGAGGUGAGUGGAACUCCUAGUGUAGAGGUGGAAUUCGUAGAUAUUAGAAGAACACCAGUGGCGAAAGCGGCUCACUGGUCCGGAACUGACGCUGAGGUGCGAAAGCGUGGGGAGCAAACAGAUUAGAUACCCUGGUAGUCCACGCCGUAAACUAUGAGAGCUAGCCGUUGGGACGUUUACGUUUCAGUGGCGCAGCUACGCAUAAGCUCUCGCCUGGGGAGUACGUCGCAGAUAAACUC